RNAcentral lists this unclassified non-coding RNA (562 nucleotides) under Hevea brasiliensis (rubber tree). The record is from RNAcentral. Lineage: Eukaryota; Viridiplantae; Streptophyta; Magnoliopsida; Malpighiales; Euphorbiaceae.
GCCUGGUCACCCGUGAUCAUCACCUAACACAAAAACUUUUCUUGAGAAGGCUAUUAUCAAGUUAUAAAUGAUUUUGCAGGAAAUUACAUAGACAAGGAAAGGAAAAGUAAUUGUAAGAUGGAGUACAAGGUAUCUCAACAAAACAAAUGCACAAAAAUAUAAUUAGAAAAGCAAAACAAACGCACAAAAAGAAAAUUAUAAAAGCAGAGCUCUCCAAAGAACACUUUGAGAUACUCCAUUAAAAUGCCCCCAAAAAAGCUCAGAAAGAAAGCCAACAAAAGCACCUUAUCCCACAAAAGAUUAGAAGACAAGAUCUGAACCUUGAAAAUAAGAGCAUUCGUUGCCAUCCAAAUCUUCACCACAAAGAAUGAAUACAUCACAAGAAAAAAAGAAAUGCAGAGCUAAACUUUUUAAUCAAACCAUCUGUUAAUUAUAUAUCAAUUUUUUAAUAAUUUAGUAUUAUAACCUAUUCAUAUAAGAAUAUAAUUUAGAAUUCCUUUCCAUCCAGAUCUUCACAUCACCACCAAGAAUGAAGACAUCACGAGAGAGAGAGAGAGAGAGA